CCUACGGGAGGCAGCAGUGAGGAAUAUUGGUCAAUGGACGAGAGUCUGAACCAGCCAAGUAGCGUGAAGGAUGACUGCCCUAUGGGUUGUAAACUUCUUUUAUAAAGGAAUAAAACGAGGCACGUGUGCCUUUUUGCAUGUACUUUAUGAAUAAGGAGCGGCUAACUCCGUGCCAGCAGCCGCGGUAAUACGGAGGAUCCGAGCGUUAUCCGGAUUUAUUGGGUUUAAAGGGAGCGUAGAUGGGUUGUUAAGUCAGUUGUGAAAGUUUGCGGCUCAACCGUAAAAUUGCAAUUGAUACUGGCAGUCGUGAGUACAGUUGAGGUAGGCGGAAUUCGUGGUGUAGCGGUGAAAUGCUUAGAUAUCACGAAGAACCCCGAUUGCGAAGGCAGCUUACUAAACUGUGACUGACAUUGAUGCUCGAAAGUGUGGGUAUCAAACAGGAUUAGAUACCCUUGUAGUC
This 460-nucleotide ribosomal RNA is filed under the name uncultured bacterium. RNAcentral describes it as "partial 16S ribosomal RNA". It matches the Rfam family "Bacterial small subunit ribosomal RNA", at positions 338 to 795 of the family's 1533-position model. The record is from RNAcentral.